CGGGCCUCUGUAUGGUUCCCAGCAACAAUACUGUAAAAAUAAUAAUCUCGACUUUUGUCCACGUCCAUGAUUGAGAAUUCUACAGAAAAAGAAAUCAACAAACACUUUGACUGAAAGAAGUCGACACAAAUAUUAAUAUGGCAGUUGGCAAUGAAGACAAAUAUAUUCCGGAGUCGGACGAUGCAGUACCCAUACAAUCUAUUCCAAAUGAGUUACGUUGUGUAAAGUGUCUGGUUAAUGCUAGAAAUAUUGUCUUCGUGAAGUGUGGACACUUAUUGUUUUGCACAGUUUGUGCCAGAUUUUGCUACGCCUGUCCUUGCGGUGAAAAAGUAAAGGCGUAUCUACCCGUGAAAUACGAAUAAACACGGAAAGAAAAAUGGAAUGCAUCAUAUAUUGGACUGGAGCUUACUAUGUAGCACCUGGAAAAUGAACCAUCUAAACUAUGACUGACAAUAGCUGAUAUAUAGUUUUCAGGAAUAAUACAAUAUUUGGAAUUUUGUGCUGGAGUGACAAUGUGUUCAUUUUUAUUUUUUUGUGCAUUAUUUAUGUAUUUUUAUAUAAAAAACAAACAGACAAAAAAAACAACAUUUCAUUUGAUCAGUUAAAGCAUUAUUACCAUAACUUUUUUAAGAAUAUAUUUCAACUAUAUUGAUUCAACAUCUGAAAAUCAUAAAUUCAUAAGAGUAAACCUUCAUAUCUGACAAUUCCAAGAUGUAUCAUUGUUUCUUUUCCAAGUGCAAAACACAUAUAUAUAAUUAUUACAAUAUCCUUAGAGACAAAAGACUGUGCCAUCCACAACUGGAAAUAAAUCAUAUUUUACUACUUAUAAUUAUUCACACAGUUUUGUUAGGUUAUAUUUCUAAAAAAAAACCACUAUAUUUUAGGUCCAUACACUUAUUCUGAUUUUUAGUGUUAUAGCAUAUAAACAUCAUUGUUUUCAACAUCUUUCCAUAUAUGAUACAUUUCACAAGCUAUAAACAUGUCUUUUCUC
Long non-coding RNA from Ruditapes philippinarum (Manila clam), 991 nucleotides. RefSeq lists it as uncharacterized. The transcript is spliced from 3 exons. NCBI's taxonomy places the organism in Eukaryota, Metazoa, Mollusca, Bivalvia, Venerida, Veneridae. The record is from RefSeq and is a predicted model, not a curated record.